CUCGAUCAGUUCAGCUCGAGCCCACGUUGGCUCCUAGGCCGGUCCCUGCGUUGCGAACCGGCCGAAGCGGAAAUCAUCUGUGUUGCUGUGCGAUUCUCGCCUCACCCCUGCCAGGGGCGUGUGGUGAGCGUGGAGGCGCCUCCUUUGCUCCGAACGUGUCGACUCGACGGUUGCGGCGCAUCGGAAAGGUCGCCCGUGCUUUUCCGGGAUGCGGAAUACCAUCUUGUAGCCCGAGGGAUCCGAUCCCUCCGUUGCCCCGAAAUGUCCCUGACGCUCGAACGACGCGCGAGGCCCGCGCCCCCUCCCCGUCACGCCGCAACGGUCGGCCUGCCGGGGUUCGGGGCCGGCGCCGAGCUCGCGAAGGAAUGC
RNAcentral lists this unclassified non-coding RNA (369 nucleotides) under Megistostigma yunnanense. RNAcentral describes it as "partial external transcribed spacer". The record is from RNAcentral. Lineage: Eukaryota; Viridiplantae; Streptophyta; Magnoliopsida; Malpighiales; Euphorbiaceae.